RNAcentral lists this ribosomal RNA (242 nucleotides) under Xanthobacter autotrophicus. Its description in RNAcentral is "partial 23S ribosomal RNA". It matches the Rfam family "Bacterial large subunit ribosomal RNA", at positions 2681 to 2925 of the family's 2925-position model. Lineage: Bacteria; Pseudomonadati; Pseudomonadota; Alphaproteobacteria; Hyphomicrobiales; Xanthobacteraceae. The record is from RNAcentral.
GUACGAGAGGACCGGGAUGGACAUACCUCUGGUGUACCAGUUGUCGUGCCAACGGCAUCGCUGGGUAGCUAUGUAUGGACGGGAUAAGUGCUGAAAGCAUCUAAGCAUGAAGCCCCCCUCAAGAUGAGAUUUCCCAACUUCGGUUAUAAGAUCCCUCAAAGAUGAUGAGGUUAAUAGGUUCGAGGUGGAAGCAUAGCGAUAUGUGCAGCUGACGAAUACUAAUCGAUCGAAGACUUAAUCAA